GUGGUGAGCUGGAGAAAACUGAAGCAGGAGUUGGGAGGUGAACAACUCUGGCCAGUGUCAGGUCCAUUUAUUUCAGCAAAUAUUUAUUGACAACCACCCAGCCAGCUCCUGGGUGGAUGCUGCUCAGACGGUCCUUGCCCUCCAGGUUCCCGGAGCCAGGAGGGAGAGUCACAAACCCAAGCAAAGCUAAUAGAAGCCGAGUGUGGAUAAAUGCUGUAAUCAAGGUUCAAACAAUUCAAUGAAACAGGAAGGAAGUAGUUCAUUCUGCCCAGACAGACCAGGAGCGAUCUUUGAGUGGAGGCUGGACGAGAAUCUGGCCUGAAGAAGUGGCGGAAGACUGAGAGGCACAACUGGAGGUGGUGACUCAGGGAUCCAAGCUGUCCCAUCCUGGAUUUGCAUCACUCAAUGUCACUUCAAAAGCGGGCAGGGGAAGAGUCUGGGAGAUUGCACGGGAUGUUUCUAAAGACCACCCCUGAAAGUGCCUUACAUCACUUCACCUACAUUUCUUUGAACACAGUCACAGAGAUAGAAGCUCACUGCCAGGAAUGCUGGGAAAUGUAGGCUUCCACUGUACCUGGGGAAAGUAAAGCCUAUAGCAAACACACAGCAGCUUUGACUCUGCCACAAGAGUUACAUCUGGAUUGGAAUUCUGCCUCUGUCUGCUAGCUUGGAGCUCUUUGGAUCUUUUUCUUCAUUCAAAACUUGGAACUAAUGACACCUACCCACAAGAUGUACAGAAUGUCACAUAUAUAGCUGUCAGAUAUUAAGAAUCAGACUUCUUCCUGAAUAGUGACUUCAAGGAUGGGUACUAUACUGAAAAUGGAAUGUCUCAGAUUGGCUUUCCAGAAAAGUGCCUGAGAUAAAGACAAGAAUAUAUCAAGGUUUCUGGGAAGACAAGUAAUGAAGUACAGGAAGCAGGAGAAGGGAAACAGGAGGAAGACAAACAAGGGGGCAACUUCAGGCAAAGCCUCACCAAACCCUAGAGCUAAGCAAAGCUU
Homo sapiens (human) is the source of this 998-nucleotide long non-coding RNA. RefSeq lists it as uncharacterized. Lineage: Eukaryota; Metazoa; Chordata; Mammalia; Primates; Hominidae. The record is from RefSeq and is a predicted model, not a curated record. The transcript is spliced from 3 exons.